UUAGUCAUUCAAAUAAGUUAUACCCGAAGGGCUUUCCCUUCGGGGUAUAAUUUAUUUUAUCACAAGAAAAUAAAAAUAAAUUUUACAGCAGUUGAACUGUAAUAAUAUUUGUAACAUUGACGAAAGAGAAACAAAGAUGGAGUAGCAUAGAAUUUUUCUCAAUAAAAUACCACUGCAAAUCUCUAAUCUCUUUAUACGUUAAGAGAGUCAAGAAAAUUUGGGCGAUGAUUGGCUAAUAAACUAUGUUAAUUUGUUAUUAGGUAAUUGUUGGGUUGACUUUUAUUAGCUUUUGUUGUUUGCUAAAGGGCCGAUUGAGGUGGGUUGCUGAUUUGAAGGAGCUGAAGAAGAGGCUGGUAGAGGGCAGUGAGGAUCUCCUCGGACCCUGUGAUGUUGAUGAAGUGAAGAGUUGACUUACGGGAGGAUGGAUGUUUGGAUGUAGCGAUUGCAAGCCUGGAUGAAGAAUGUUUUUAUGAUGGUUUGGAUGGUUUGCAGUGAAGAUCUCCUCGGACCAUCUGCAGGCUCUGUCCAUCGGGCUAUCGGGAUCCUUCCUUGUCAUCUUUAUUCAGGAGAAAGCCAUGAUGAGGCGCAAGGCAUCAUUGCUUGCUGGAGAUAUAAACCACUUGAAGGAGCUCGGGAAGAAGGCUGCAGAAGGUAGUGAAGGUCAUUUCAUGCCAUUGGAUGUUGAUGAAGAGUUGAGCAUAAGAGUGCAGUUUGCAUGGUGCCCCCUAUUUAAUCAAGGCUUCUAUAUGUUGUGAUUGCUAGCCUGGAAUGCUGUCUGAUUUAAGACAAGCUUCUGAAGCUUUCCAUCUGAUCACAAGGGUCUUGGACACAACAGUAGCGUAUGGGGGAACCAGGUCAGAUGGAUUUGAUGCUGGGAUGCUAUUUGUGUGUGGGCUUAGGCAGGUUUGAUGAUUGGCUUGCUGAAAGAACUUCGACGCAAAAGAGUUGUUGAUCACCGAAUUGUGUUGUCUCAUUUGAUGCUUGCAGGUUUUGCAUAUAUAACAGUUGAGGAAUUGUGUGUUUGUAUGGGAGUUCAUAUGGUUCUUUGAUGGGGGUUUUGUAUGGCUGUAUCUUGUGAAGAAAGGGGAUGGAUUCCUUGGAUGCUAUGUAUUGCAUCUGAACCUUGUGAAAACAGGCUUGCGAGUGGAUGUGUUGGCAUGUGGGAUUGCUAACGAAAUGUGGACAGUUUGGGUGUGACUUGGGGGAGUUGCACAUGAUUUUGGGAAGACAUGACAGUAGGUGACACUUGAGUGUUACGGCAUUGUCUUUGGCCAGACGAGAUUGAUGGCAUUGAUCUCAAUAGCUUUGGAUGGGACUCAAUGUUUGGUUUGACCUAUGGGGUACAAACUGGAACCAAGAGAAGACUUGGUCACAGCUUGGCUCAGAUUUGGGUUGACGAAUGGGAAUGUCAGCUUGGCAUCGCAGAAUUGAUGGGCAGUAUUCUCGAUGUGAAGGUGAAGAAUACUUUUCUGAUGAACAGCUGCAAAGAAGGGCACUGUGAUGAUACUGGAGUAAACCAGUUUCUUGCAGGCUCCAUCCAACAUGCAGCAAAUCCAUACUCGACAAAUUUUCUGCCUCACAGAAUUUCUCAUUAAAAUCCACAUUUCGAAUAAGAGGAGAAGGGUAGCUUUAUUUAAACCAUCCACGUCAUCUUCUUCAGGACAUAUGAGCCUAUCAUUUGUUAGUGAUUGUUGAUGCUUUCAUAAGGUUCAGUAUCUCCACUCUCAUAAUAGAGGGUAGUCAUGUUCAUGCAGUUGAUUUAUAGGAUAUUUCAUCUUGUUCUGUAUGAAAAUGAGAGAGAUUCAUUACUAAUUAUCUCCACACAAAUUCUUCUGGGAAUUUGUGUUCUGCUGUCUUUCUCAUAACCUUUUAAUAAUUAAUGGAAGUUGGCUUUAAUA
Molecule: long non-coding RNA, 1898 nt
Organism: Populus nigra (black poplar)
Lineage: Eukaryota; Viridiplantae; Streptophyta; Magnoliopsida; Malpighiales; Salicaceae
Exons: 2
Source: RefSeq, a predicted model, not a curated record